Molecule: ribosomal RNA, 417 nt
Filed under: uncultured bacterium
Lineage: Bacteria
Description: bacterial SSU rRNA
Rfam family: Bacterial small subunit ribosomal RNA
Source: RNAcentral
UGGGGAAUAUUGGGCAAUGGGCGCAAGCCUGACCCAGCAACGCCGCGUGAAGGAAGAAGGCUUUCGGGUUGUAAACUUCUUUUGAGAGGGACGAAAAAAUGACGGUACCUCUUGAAUAAGCCACGGCUAACUACGUGCCAGCAGCCGCGGUAAUACGUAGGUGGCAAGCGUUAUCCGGAUUUAUUGGGUGUAAAGGGCGUGUAGGCGGGAGUGCAAGUCAGAUGUGAAAACUAUGGGCUCAACCCAUAGCCUGCAUUUGAAACUGUACUUCUUGAGUGCUGGAGAGGCAAUCGGAAUUCCGUGUGUAGCGGUGAAAUGCGUAGAUAUACGGAGGAACACCAGUGGCGAAGGCGGAUUGCUGGACAGUAACUGACGCUGAGGCGCGAAAGCGUGGGGAGCAAACAGGAUUAGAUACCC